Non-coding RNA from Brassica napus (rape), 137 nucleotides. The record is from Rfam. Lineage: Eukaryota; Viridiplantae; Streptophyta; Magnoliopsida; Brassicales; Brassicaceae.
UCACCGUCUUGCUCGGAUUCGCUUGGUGCAGGUCGGGAACCAAUUGUCUGACACAUCCACGAAGUUUUACUUGCUGGUUUGUGAGCAGGGAUUGGAUCCCGCCUUGCAUCAAAUGAAUCGGAGUCCUGAUGGUGAAA